This 228-nucleotide long non-coding RNA is filed under the name Medicago truncatula (barrel medic). RNAcentral describes it as "long non-coding RNA (MTRU_LNC005442)". Lineage: Eukaryota; Viridiplantae; Streptophyta; Magnoliopsida; Fabales; Fabaceae. The record is from RNAcentral.
AUCAUGUCUGAAGGCAUCCAGCCCUGAUAUUGCCAAGGCCAGAAAAUUUGAGGCCACAUUUUGCUUUUUAUCUGUUCCUUGUGUAAGACAUGAUUUCCAAAGCCAAACGAUUCUGUUUGCUUUUUAGUGUACAUUUGAAUGGACCCUUUUAGCUUCAAAUAGGAAACUCUGUCUCUGAUGUAGAUAGUUUUGAUUAGUCUUUCAAAAUGAGUAACUCAUUAACAUGUG